Molecule: long non-coding RNA, 314 nt
Organism: Mauremys reevesii (Reeves's turtle)
Lineage: Eukaryota; Metazoa; Chordata; Testudines; Geoemydidae
Exons: 3
Source: RefSeq, a predicted model, not a curated record
CCCAGCACCAUCAGCUCAGCACGGGACAGCAGCAGUGCCUGGGGCUCCAGCAGCAGCGACGCCUCUGGACGCUGCUGCUUUGUUCCAGGGACCCCACGGAGUCAGCGGCGGAGGAAUGGCUGGAGAUGACCACAGAGGAAGCUGCUCUCAAGGUCAUCGGAGAGCAGCUCCAGGGCAGAGACAAGGAUGAGGGGCAGCAGCUCAGGUUCCUGCGGGCCAUCUACCCCGCGUGUCUUGCUGCACAGGACAGAGGGCAGGACACGCUGGAGCCGCACUGCUGCAAGGCGGCUGUGGUGGAGAGGAUUGUGGUGAGU